UCAAAUACACAACGUGUAAAAUGGCUAAAAUGGCCACUAAACCAACUUUUCUCGUACACAUGUACCAAAUUUGGUGAAAGCGAAGUAAGGGGCUAUUGAGCCAGGCCUGGCCCGAGGCAUAAGCGAUACAAGCGGGCGCUUGGGGCCUCCUGACCGCCAGGGGGCCCCCUAUCGGAAAAAAAAAAUUAUAAUUAAAAAUAAUUAAAAAUAAUAAUAAUAAUAAUAUUAAAUAACUUAAACAAGUGACCUGAUUGAAUGAAAUAAAGAAUACAUCUAUACAGGAAAAUUCAGAUUUUACGAUCAAUAUAUCUGCCAGCGUUCAAGUCAUGCAUAUCAACUGCGUGCUCAAUCUGCUGACAGACACUGCAUAAUACUCAAGGUUAAGUUGGAAGGGACAUAUAUAAGCAUGUCAUCUAAAAGGACGUAUCUCUCUGGUGCCCGAAAACGGAAAAAGAAAAGGACAGAAGAUGAGAAAAAAGAGCAAGAUAAAGGUAUGAUUGCAUGAUUAUUUAAAAUAUGUUUUGAACUCAUUUGAGGGAGGAGCAGCUCAAGCUAUCAUAGGAGUUAGCUAGCUAGCUAGCGAGUUAAUGUCAUCUUAUAUUUGCCAUCACAUGAGCUAUAUUCAUCAACAGUGUAUGUAUCUCAUUAAUAUACAUUUAUCUAGGUGUAUAUCAGAUAUCAACGAUAUUGGCAGUGUUUAGGAUGUUCAAUCAAACAUGUACUGCUAGCUCUUGCCAGGCUUAAUCUAACGUUAGCUCGCUGACUGAGGUGGACAUUAGCACUAGUAGCUAGCUACAUGAAAACAGUACUGUUUUAUAAAUGUGACAUAGUGGUGAGUCUGACAGCGACUAAGAGUCUUAGUCCGUGAGAUAUCGGUUUAUAUUGGAGGAAACAGCCAACGGUGAACUUAACCUUCUAGGUGUAAGGGAUGCAAGCUAGCAUUGCUGUGCCUGUGCACGUUAGUAAAAGUGACAUCUCAGCCAAAGAUGGAGCACAAUGUGCGCUCUGCUCUAAGAUCUUUGUUGAGAGAUGGCCUAUUGGUCUUUAUGAGAAAACACCAUGUUGAAGUGAGGAGACGUCUGUGAUAAAAAUAUACUUAUAUUGUAUUAAUAUUAUAUUUAGGAUGUUAAGUGUUCACCACACUGCAAUUAGGCUGUGCCUUAUUUUGCCUCACUAGAAUAGGAAUGGUUAGGUGUGGAAUUGUUUGUUGAUGAGUGUAAGUAAUGAUGGCAAAAUAAACUCAUUUUUCAUAAACUCACUAUCAACUAUGCACUUUUGCAAUGUUAUUUUUUCAGGAACACUGUUGAAGUAUUUUGGAGCACAACCAACUGUACCUGCCCCCGAUGUGUCAUCAAGUGUCAGUGCCUCCACAGCUGAUGAUACAGCAGGUUCACCCCCAGCAGACUUACAGUCAUCUGAAAGUGAGGAAGAACUUUUACCCAUUGAGGAACAGUUACCAGCAUUGACAGUCACUGAUACACCGACUUCAACCUCUGCCGGCAUAACAGGUCAGUUAAUCUAACAGUUUUUGUUUUGUGUUGCCUUACUUAACUGUGAAAUAUCUUGUGUUAUGUUAUGAUUCUAUUUUUGUAUCUUUGUAUUAGUAUUAAUAGCAAAGUUGGCCAAGCAAUAUCAUAUAAUGAUGUCAUCAAUGACUUUGCCUCCCGAAAAGCUAGGAAGGAAAGAUUUUGAGGACAGUUACAUUGUAUUGAGACAGUUGGGAAUAUUUUCACAAUAAUUGAUUGUUGAACCCUUGCUGUCAUGUUACUGACUUAUCAGUUUUGUUAUUAUCGUUUAUUUGAAUGUUUUGAAACAGUUUGAUUUUAGAAGUUCCAAAUAGUUAGUUUAAAAGGUUAAUUGAAUACUGAGUCACUUUCAUUAUUUAAUCUAUGUAUCUAUGUAACGUUCUAUUUUUUAUUAUAUUCAUGCUUGUCUAUUUUGGUUUUAUUUUGUAAUUGGAAAUUGCUAACUUAAUACGCAUUUGCACAGUUGCAAAUUAUUUAUUUAAUAUGUUUGUGAUCGUUUGUUUGGAAUACAGAGGCACUAUCAUUAUUUAUUUUUUAUUUUUUAAUGUUAUUUUUGAUAAUACUAAUGUUUGUGUAUUUUGAUUUCAGUUUAAGAUUGCACAUUUACAAAUCUGUUGAAAGAUCUGUUUAUUAAACUGAUACUUUAAAAAAAAAUACAAAUGCUGUUGUAUUUAAUUAUUUUACAAUUUAACUUCAGUAAACCACACUUGAUGCUUUACUUUGAAUAUGAAAGUUUAAAAUAAAUCUGUGAUCUAAGUGCCCUCUAAGGUUAAAAGGUGACUGUUUUGGUGUAAAUAACGACUAUAAUAAUACAGGGGUCUAUCAAGGGACAAAAGUCUAGAAUAUU
Pleuronectes platessa (European plaice) is the source of this 2373-nucleotide long non-coding RNA. RefSeq lists it as uncharacterized. The record is from RefSeq and is a predicted model, not a curated record. NCBI's taxonomy places the organism in Eukaryota, Metazoa, Chordata, Actinopteri, Pleuronectiformes, Pleuronectidae. The transcript is spliced from 2 exons.